RNAcentral lists this ribosomal RNA (252 nucleotides) under uncultured bacterium. Its description in RNAcentral is "partial 16S ribosomal RNA". It matches the Rfam family "Bacterial small subunit ribosomal RNA", at positions 524 to 776 of the family's 1533-position model. The record is from RNAcentral.
UACGGGGGAUGCGAGCGUUGUCCGGAUUUAUUGGGUUUAAAGGGUGCGUAGGCGGAUCGUUAAGUCAGUGGUCAAAUUGAGGGGCUCAACCCCUUCCCGCCAUUGAAACUGGCGAUCUUGAGUGGAAGAGAAGUAUGCGGAAUGCGUGGUGUAGCGGUGAAAUGCAUAGAUAUCACGCAGAACCCCGAUUGCGAAGGCAGCAUGCCGGCUUCCGACUGACGCUGAAGCACGAAAGCGUGGGGAUCGAACAGG